UGUGAUCAUGCCACUGCACUCCAGCCUAGGCAAGACCGUAAGACCCAGUCUCAUAAAACAAAACAAAAGCAAUAACCUCUCGAUUGGAUAAUUGUUACUGUUUUGGUUGCAUUUGAGUAAGAGACAUUGCUGACUAUGAAGAGUCCUGUGUUUCCUCUGUUGGACAAAGCUGGACUCUGUGACUACUCAGUUCUCCAUGGAACUAGCCAUAGAAUCUUUGAAUGUCCGUGAAGGAUCUUGGAGGACUAGUACACUCCCCUCAUCUUACAGGCCAGGCAUUCAGCGCAUGCGCCGUCCUGACAGUGCGGAGCCCAACAGCUAUAUUCCCCGGUGUCUGCGCCAGAGGAGUUCACCAGCAGCAGCUGGCUGCACUGGCUGAAGUGCUUGAUUCUGAAAGACAGAUGGUAGGGGCGGGACGGGCAGGCGAUGGGGAUGGCCCGAUACUCCUAGUGGGCAGCAUUUGGUCUACUGACAGUCCUCCCUCCCAUCACCAACUUUCAUCACCCACCCACCCACCCAAUCUUUCCCCCUUUCUCAAUGGAUCUGUUAGGAUUUGCAUUGGCCCCACCCGUAGUUUCUGAUUGGCUCGCCUAACCCUCCUUCCCUUUGACUUUGCACUUCACGAAUGGAAUGCCACAAGCGUCUUUGUGCUCCUCGGCACCUUCCUGAUGUCUCUUGGUGCAAGCCUGCAAAUGCUUUCCAUGCACUUCCACCCACAAAGGAGGCAGAGUCCCAGAGCCAUCUUAAGAGGCUGAAGUGAGAGAGGAUAGGCGAAUCUUUGGAACCCAGUUUUCUAUCCCAGCCUCUGCCUGAUUUCCUUCUGGACUGGCAGAGGGAAAUACUGGUGGGUCAACUUUGCUUUCAUUUUUGGCCUCCCUAUUAUGGUGUCCUUGGCAGAAGAGUGGUAUUCAGCCUGCCAUCCGCCACAGAUAGGUCAGACAGGCAGGCAGCCUCUUGCUUUUCCAUUGCCACGUCCCUCCCUAGAGGCACUAUUUGUGGUCCACCCCCUACCCUCAUUUAAGCAGCCCAGGAUUGUGGGAAGGUUGCUUGUCUCCUACUCUGUUCAAUCACUAUGCAUCUGAUGGGGCUCGCGGGCCCAUCUUACUGUUUCUUUUAGGUGCCUAUGGUUGUACAUAACAGGAUGCCCAGUGUGGGUCCUGAGCCAUCUUAAUCCCUGUAAACUGUUGUCACUGUGCUUGUGAACUGCUGCCCAACAUCCUCUGACACACUCCUAGACCCAUUAAAAUUUUGCCAGAGUUCUUCCACCCCAUACCUCAGGCGUCCUUCGCCCCUCCUCCUCCAGAUAUACAGGCACCCUCCAGUGGACCACCUUCCCCCUGCAGUGCUGUUCCAGGGGCUCAAAGAGUCCCCAACCUUCGGGAAUCGGGCCUUCCCUACACCUGGGUCAGGUGGGGGGCUUGGGGUUGCAGAGGCUAUAGCCUCCAUGGGGGUCUUCAUCUGCAUGGGCUUCUGGCUCCCGUCUGCUUUGGGUUUUCUCUGGCAGGGGGCUCCUGAAAGCUGCACCUCACUGGGGCCAGCUGCUUUGGAGCCCCUCAUUUUCUGAGCCUUUGGAGUUCUGCCAUGCUCCGGGAUUUCACCUGCAGAGAAAACAGGGUGGGUCUGGGAUCACCAGCCUUCAUUCACCUCAGUGGAACCUCAGAGUUCUGUCAAUUUUUACAUUUAUUACUACCACAAAUAAUUCUUACUCAGA
RNAcentral lists this long non-coding RNA (1711 nucleotides) under Homo sapiens (human). Its description in RNAcentral is "HSALNT0330257". The record is from RNAcentral. Lineage: Eukaryota; Metazoa; Chordata; Mammalia; Primates; Hominidae.